Molecule: ribosomal RNA, 108 nt
Filed under: uncultured bacterium
Lineage: Bacteria
Description: partial 16S ribosomal RNA
Rfam family: Bacterial small subunit ribosomal RNA
Source: RNAcentral
CCGCGUGAGGAUGAAGCUUUCGAGUCGGAAGCUCUUUUUUAUGGGAAGAUAAUGACGGUACCAUAGAAGAAAGCCCCGGCUAAUUACGUGCCAGCAUCCGCGGUAAUA